Chiloscyllium plagiosum (whitespotted bambooshark) is the source of this 306-nucleotide non-coding RNA. The record is from RefSeq and is a predicted model, not a curated record. NCBI's taxonomy places the organism in Eukaryota, Metazoa, Chordata, Chondrichthyes, Orectolobiformes, Hemiscylliidae.
UGGGAUUAGCUGUGGCUGUCUGUGUAGUUACUGUGUCUCUCGCCCUGAAGGGUCAGUCAAUACGAGGAGCUGAAUAAGAUGUCCCUCCACAAUCUCGCCACUGUCUUCGGACCCUCCAUGCUCCGCACCCAGCACCAGGGCCUCCCCAUGGACGUUUCACAGGAGAUUGUCACUCAGGUCCAGGUUGUCCAGUACUUCCUCUCGGACGAGAAACUGUCUCAGUUUGAGCGUCAAGAGUCCGUCUCCACGGCAACAUGAGCGACCGAGAGCCUGGGCCUACUCUGUAAAUAAAUGGCAUUGACCUCC